UCAACUCCGAGGCUCCCGGGCUUCGCGAGGACGCAUUUGCAGCCCCCUCUGCCUGUCCUCUCGGGCGGCCGAGGCGAAGGAGCCGCCUUUCUGGGGCUUCGUGGUGGUGUAUUUCAUAUUGGGGCUCUUUUCGGGGUUUGUAAUUUGGCCGUGGGUAGGUAAUUGGCUGGAGCAGGGCGGCAGGGCGCGGCAGCCAAUCAGCGCGCGGCUUCUAUAGGGCUUGAGUUAUUAGACGCUGAUCUCAAAACAUCGUUCAUCAGACACCAAGGAGAGGCCAACAGAUGAGGGGAGCCAUUUUUCUGCAAUGGAAUUAAAUGGCCAAGUGGGUUUUUCCUUUGUUGCAAAUGGGGAAUGCUUUUCCUUUGACUCCACCAUCCAGUUCAGGACGCCUCAGUGUUGUGUUUAACAUUUGUCAACAGGCUAAAGGACUCACAAUUGGAAGAAUGAAGAAGACUUUUUAAAAAGAUCUGGAUUUUUCCUUAUGACUUGGAAUCCAUCUUUGUCUUGUAUAACUAGGUCAUAGCACACCAUUAAUGUCAGCAGUUAACAAUUUUGAAUUCCAAAAAACCUAAAGCAGUAAACAGUCCUCAGCGAAGCCGCCUUUUGCCAACCCAACCCUGGAAAGUUUGCAGAAGUGGAAGGAGCAGAAAAUGCCAUGAGAGUGUAACUUACAAAAAGGUAACAACAAGAAAGACACCACCAUUCCCCCAAUAAUCCUAACUAAACAAUCCCCCCUCCCCCGCCAAAAGAUAUUUUUUACAUAACACGUCCAAAACCUCCGCCCAGCUUGAUCUUCCAGACUCCAUGGCACCGGGCAGAGCCGGUAAGU
Molecule: long non-coding RNA, 829 nt
Organism: Herpailurus yagouaroundi (jaguarundi)
Lineage: Eukaryota; Metazoa; Chordata; Mammalia; Carnivora; Felidae
Exons: 2
Source: RefSeq, a predicted model, not a curated record